Molecule: ribosomal RNA, 465 nt
Filed under: Vreelandella stevensii
Lineage: Bacteria; Pseudomonadati; Pseudomonadota; Gammaproteobacteria; Oceanospirillales; Halomonadaceae
Description: partial 16S ribosomal RNA
Rfam family: Bacterial small subunit ribosomal RNA
Source: RNAcentral
CCUACGGGAGUCUGCAGUGGGGAAUAUUGGACAAUGGGCGAAAGCCUGAUCCAGCCAUGCCGCGUGUGUGAAGAAGGCCUUCGGGUUGUAAAGCACUUUCAGUGGGGAAGAAAGCCUUGGGGCUAAUACCCUCGAGGAAGGACAUCACCCACAGAAGAAGCACCGGCUAACUCCGUGCCAGCAGCCGCGGUAAUACGGAGGGUGCGAGCGUUAAUCGGAAUUACUGGGCGUAAAGCGCGCGUAGGCGGUCUGAUAAGCCGGUUGUGAAAGCCCCGGGCUCAACCUGGGAACGGCAUCCGGAACUGUCAGGCUAGAGUGCAGGAGAGGAAGGUAGAAUUCCCGGUGUAGCGGUGAAAUGCGUAGAGAUCGGGAGGAAUACCAGUGGCGAAGGCGGCCUUCUGGACUGACACUGACGCUGAGGUGCGAAAGCGUGGGUAGCAAACAGGAUUGGAUACCCUUGUAGUC